GACGAACGUUGGCGGCGUGCUUAAUACAUGCAAGUCAACUGAAGCAUCGGUAGCAAUACUGAUGUGGAGGUGGCGCACGGGUGAGUAACACGUAGGUAAUCUGCCUUCAGGUCUGACAUAACCCCGGGAAACCGGGGCUAAUAUCAGAUGAUGCAGCGGCUUGACAUCAAGACAGUUGUUAAAGCUUCGGUGCCUGAAGAUGAGCCUGCGUCUGAUUAGCUAGUUGGCGGAGUAAUGGCCCACCAAGGCUACGAUCAGUAACUGGUCUGAGAGGAUGAUCAGUCACACUGGAACUGAGACACGGUCCAGACUCCUACGGGUGGCAG
RNAcentral lists this ribosomal RNA (326 nucleotides) under uncultured bacterium. Its description in RNAcentral is "bacterial SSU rRNA". It matches the Rfam family "Bacterial small subunit ribosomal RNA", at positions 28 to 351 of the family's 1533-position model. The record is from RNAcentral.